GAGAUCUUAGUUUAAUGGUAAAACAUGAGCCUUUUAAUCUCUGUUUCCGGGUUCGAUCCCCGGAGAUCUUA
This 71-nucleotide transfer RNA is filed under the name Erysiphe pisi. RNAcentral's name for it is "tRNA-Lys". It matches the Rfam family "tRNA". Rfam says of the family: Transfer RNA (tRNA) molecules are approximately 80 nucleotides in length. Their secondary structure includes four short double-helical elements and three loops (D, anti-codon, and T loops). Further hydrogen bonds mediate the characteristic L-shaped molecular structure. tRNAs have two regions of fundamental functional importance: the anti-codon, which is responsible for specific mRNA codon recognition, and the 3' end, to which the tRNAs corresponding amino acid is attached (by aminoacyl-tRNA synthetases). tRNAs cope with the degeneracy of the genetic code in two manners: having more than one tRNA (with a specific anti-codon) for a particular amino acid; and 'wobble' base-pairing, i.e. permitting non-standard base-pairing at the 3rd anti-codon position. RNAcentral also lists the same sequence under 6 other names. Lineage: Eukaryota; Fungi; Ascomycota; Leotiomycetes; Helotiales; Erysiphaceae. The record is from RNAcentral.